Long non-coding RNA from Chinchilla lanigera (long-tailed chinchilla), 421 nucleotides. RefSeq lists it as uncharacterized. The record is from RefSeq and is a predicted model, not a curated record. Lineage: Eukaryota; Metazoa; Chordata; Mammalia; Rodentia; Chinchillidae. The transcript is spliced from 3 exons.
GUGUUUCCCAGGGAACAGCAGCCUCUGCACUCUAAGGCUCUGUCCAGAGCCCACUCCCCUAGCUGCAAGAAUGAUGAUUAAAUUACAAAGUUUGUAUUUUCUUGUUUAGGCAGAAAGUGUUUCUGGAAGGAUUUCUGAGAAGUGAUAAUCCUUUGGCCUCCUUUGGAGGGGAGAGCUGGUUGUCUGGGAAUCAGGUUUCAGGAGAUGGCCUGGGAACUUCUUCGUAUCACUUGGAUUUCAGCCAUGGAACUGUUAUUUAUGGGUCUUCAGAGGAUGCAGUGUUGGUGGUCUGUUCUGUGCUGUAGCAGAAUUCCUCAGGCUGGCGACUGUGACUUGAAGGACAGCCAGGUCUCCUUCUGCAGCCGGGUACUCUAGGACAUUUCCCAGUACGACUUAAAUCGUUUACCUCACCUGUCCAACG